Molecule: ribosomal RNA, 301 nt
Filed under: uncultured bacterium
Lineage: Bacteria
Description: partial 16S ribosomal RNA
Rfam family: Bacterial small subunit ribosomal RNA
Source: RNAcentral
CAGUCGCCGCGGGAAUACGAAGGGUGCAAGCGUUACUCGGAAUUACUGGGCGUAAAGCGUGCGUAGGUGGUGGUUUAAGUCCGUUGUGAAAGCCCUGGGCUCAACCUGGGAAUUGCAGUGGAUACUGGGUCACUAGAGUGUGGUAGAGGAUAGUGGAAUUUCCGGUGUAGCAGUGAAAUGCGUAGAGAUCGGAAGGAACAUCUGUGGCGAAGGCGACUAUCUGGGCCAACACUGACACUGAGGCACGAAAGCGUGGGGAGCAAACAGGAUUAGAUACCCCGUAGUCCCUGUCUCUUAUACC